UUUGGAUUAAGAGCCGGAUUU
This is a non-coding RNA of Caenorhabditis elegans, 21 nucleotides long. The record is from Ensembl. NCBI's taxonomy places the organism in Eukaryota, Metazoa, Nematoda, Chromadorea, Rhabditida, Rhabditidae.